Non-coding RNA from Mucidula mucida, 92 nucleotides. Lineage: Eukaryota; Fungi; Basidiomycota; Agaricomycetes; Agaricales; Physalacriaceae. The record is from the annotation of a GenBank genome assembly.
UCUUUGAUAGUAUAUCGGUUAGUACACGCGCCUGUCAUUACCGAGGCCGCAGGAUGACGCGCGAAAGCUGGGUUCGACUCCCAGUCAGAGAG